UACCCCACCAGCUAGCCCAACCCCUUAAAAACAACAACCCACUACAAAUACACCUUAUGCCCUAUAUAAAUUAAAACAUUUUUCCACCUGAGUACGGGAGACAGAAAAAG
This 110-nucleotide ribosomal RNA is filed under the name Odontobutis obscura. RNAcentral describes it as "partial 16S ribosomal RNA". Lineage: Eukaryota; Metazoa; Chordata; Actinopteri; Gobiiformes; Odontobutidae. The record is from RNAcentral.